This 1185-nucleotide long non-coding RNA is filed under the name Cicer arietinum (chickpea). Its description in RNAcentral is "long non-coding RNA (CARI_LNC001236)". Lineage: Eukaryota; Viridiplantae; Streptophyta; Magnoliopsida; Fabales; Fabaceae. The record is from RNAcentral.
UUAAAAAAGGAAAUAAAAUAAUUACAAUAAAUAAUUUCAUUAUGUAUUAUAAGUUUACAAUUUCAAAUCUAUUUAGAAUGUUAAAACCAAAUCAAAUUACAAACUAAAAUAAAGGCAAAAUUAAAUUACAAUAAGAUUUAAACCAAACUAAAUUAAAUUACAAUAAUUUUUAAUUUGUUGCUGUUGUUGCCUCUCUGCCUCUCUGUUUCUGAUGCAGUGUUUGGCUCUAUUGCGUUGCUGCCUUUCUAUUUCAGAUGUAGUUGUCAUUGACCUUUGCUUUGUAACUAACUAGAGAAACAUAAAAACAUUUUUUUUAAGUCAGUCUUGGUACACUUUGUGCAGAACAAAGAGACAAAAUUUUGAGUUUAAAAAAUAAACUAAGGGACAAAUUAAAGCUCAGCAACAGAACAAAUCAAAGCAAAUAAAUCAAAAUCAUGAAUGCAUCAGAGGUGUAGAAAAAAACGCAGAUGAUGAGCAAGGAAAAAAACAUCAAACAGGAAAUAGAUAGAGAAGGACCAAUGCAGACCAGAAAGCAACUAAACAUAUAAAAGACUCUAUAAAUACAUCUUGAAAAAUUUCAAAAAAAAAAGGAGGGAACAAGAGACAGAAAAAUAACUAAAACAAAGAAGGAGAAAGAAAGAAAUUAGAGAGGACAGUAACAAACGGAAAUCAACACACAACAAACGCAAAGGUAUUUUUUUUAGAUAAUAAAUAUGUUGUACAUUUUUUUUUAGUUCAAAAAGGGUUAGAUUUUUUUUUUCAUUUUUGCAAAAUCAAACAUAAUGGGAAAAACGUAGAAGAUAUAAAAUUAAAGAUUUGAACCUGUGACAUGUUGCCGUUGUCAAAACCAUCGACGUUGUGGUCGUUGUGGCCGCUAUCCCCGUUGGCGCAGUGGCCGCCGUUUACACCAAGGUCGGCGUCGGCGUUGUGGCUGUCAUUUCGUUACAGCUUUCUUGUUCCUCUUCUUUUAGUUGAUACAUACAUUCAUAUUUCCUCCUUCUUUCAAAAUAGAGAUUGGAAUAAGGAAAGAGAAGGAUUUUGCUUUGCUGUGAAAGACCCAUGCGGCUGCCCCUCCUUCUAACUAGGGUUUCUUUUUGUUUGUUUUGGACCUCUUUUUUAAGUUAGUUUGGGCCUGGGUUAUGGGUUAAUAACCAAAAUAUAUUCAAACUCAACCCAUUUUCAUUU